AUCCAGCUGAUGAGUCUCAAAUAAAACAAAACGCACGUCCAGGAU
This 45-nucleotide non-coding RNA is filed under the name Schistosoma curassoni. Lineage: Eukaryota; Metazoa; Platyhelminthes; Trematoda; Strigeidida; Schistosomatidae. The record is from RNAcentral.